Long non-coding RNA from Oreochromis aureus, 314 nucleotides. NCBI's taxonomy places the organism in Eukaryota, Metazoa, Chordata, Actinopteri, Cichliformes, Cichlidae. The record is from Ensembl.
CUGAAUUAAGACUUCAGAAGUCAUUCCUCAUGUCGAAUGACCAGCGGAUAAACUCUCAGACUGACUGAGAAACCUUUGCUUCCACUAAAAAGAGGAAGAGGAGGAGGAUUUGACUUUGAACUCAAAGUGUUGAUCUGAUAUUACCAAGUGUGGGAUGAAGAACACGUCUGUGCUGUGCCUGCUCUUUCAACCAGUCCAGUGUCGUGUCAUUGAUGUUGAUGUCGUCUCUCCGUAUGAGUGCUCAGUUAUUCAGCCAGCCACUCAGUCUUUCAGUCAGCUAGUCAGUCCUACCGUUCCAGCUUUGUUCAUUCACC